CCUGUUCUCAAGAAGGAUAUUAUGGCACUAGAAAAAGUGCAGAGGCGGGCUACAAAAUUAAUAAAAGGAAUGGAACAUAUCGGCUAUGAAGAAAGGUUAACAAAUUUAAACCUAUUUAGUUUAGAAAAACGUCGCCUGAGAGGGGAUAUGAUAACAUUAUACAAAUAUAUUCGGGGCCAAUACAAACCAUUGUGUGGAAAUCUAUUUACAAAC
Pelobates cultripes (western spadefoot toad) is the source of this 213-nucleotide non-coding RNA. NCBI's taxonomy places the organism in Eukaryota, Metazoa, Chordata, Amphibia, Anura, Pelobatidae. The record is from the annotation of a GenBank genome assembly.